This is a long non-coding RNA of Dreissena polymorpha, 2200 nucleotides long. RefSeq lists it as uncharacterized. The transcript is spliced from 3 exons. NCBI's taxonomy places the organism in Eukaryota, Metazoa, Mollusca, Bivalvia, Myida, Dreissenidae. The record is from RefSeq and is a predicted model, not a curated record.
UGUGGCUGCUGAAGAAUUCACCAAGUUAUGCUGGGUUUAUUGUGGCUGCCACAGAAAGAGAAGUCAUUUCAUGUUACAAGUUGUUGAAAAAGAUGUCUCUCAAGAAAUAUAUGUCCCUAAGCUUCAAUUAACAGACAGUCAAAGCAGAAAGGUACAGUAACUACACCAGUUCAUAUGCAAACAGUUCUUUGUUCGUUACAUCAGUUGUUAGUCGACAAAAUGAAUCACAACUGGGAAAAAAAUUAAGGAAGAGUAAGCGAGGAAAGGCUUUGAUAGAGUCUCCGAUACAUAUGGACAGCCUCCACAGACAGCAAAUGAGAGUCUUCCUUCUUCAGGGGCCAAACACCCAAGACUUCCACUGCUGGACCAACUAUCCAGAAUCAAAAAGCACCACUAUCUUGACAAGUCUGUUCGAAUCGCUAUGGUGUCCACUGUUGGAGGUCCAAAAACUCAGCUGACAUUCUCCAGAAGAUGUUUCAAAUGAGUCUCUUUUUGUGUUUUCUAAUCGGGACAGUUGUUUUUCGUCUGUCUAAGCAUUGAAAGUGGACAUUAAGUUUGUUUGAAAUGCAUUUAUUGACAUUUUUUUGUGGGAUAUACCGAUUUUGAGUGUUAGUUUUUGUGAUAAUUCAAAAAUUGAGAGUGUAUUUUGUGGGAAAUACUGAUGGUGACAGUUUUUUUAUGUACUGAAGGAAGGGACAGUUUAGUGACAGUUUAUUUUGUAGUGAAAGACAUUAAAAAAAACACAUUCAAUUUAAAUGCAGCAUUUGGAGGAAAAAGAGGCCUUACAUCAUUUUGUUAAAGAAGGCUCUAAGCCCUUGUCAAGGCAGAAUUAUUUUUUUUGUUAACAAUCAAGUUUCCUAUUCAACAACACAACUUCCAUAGUGUAAUGGUAAACACGUUCACUCUCAGUGAAAGAUCUAGGUUCAAAUCCUGGUGGAAGUCAAAAGUUGGAUGGAGACAUUUUUAGCUCAUCUAUUUUUUGAAAAAAAAUUAUGAGCUUUUGUCAUCACCUUGGCGUCGGCGUCGGCGUUGGCGUUGGCGUCGGCGUCCGGUUAAGUUUUGCGUUUAGGUCCACUUUUCUCAGAAAGUAUCAAUGCUAUUGCAUUCAAACUUGGUACACUUACUUACUAUCAUGAGGGGACUGGGCAGGCAAAGUUAGAUAACUCUGGCGUGCAUUUUGACAGAAUUAUGUGCCCUUUUUAUACUUAAAAAAUUGAAAAUUUUGGUUAACUUUUGCGUUUAGUUCCACUUUUCUCAGUAAGUAUCAAUGCUAUUGCAUUCAAACUUGGUACACUUACUUACUAUCAUGAGGGGACUGGGCAGGCAAAGUUAGAUAACUCUGGCAUGCAUUUUGACAGAAUUAUGUGCCCUUUUUAUACUUAGAAAAUUGACAAUUUUGGUUAAGUUUUGUGUUUAGGUCCAUUUUAUUCCUUAAGCAUCAAAGCUAUUGCUUUCAUACUUGCAACACUUACUAACUAUCAUAAGGGGACUGUGCAGGCAAAGUAAUGUAACUCUGACUGGCAUUUUGACAGAAUUAUGUGCCCUUUUUAUACUUAGAAAAUUGAAAAUUUGAUUAAGUUUUGUGUUUAGGUCCACUUUAUUCCUACAGUAUCAAAGCUAUUGCUUUCAUACUUGCAAGAUUUAUGAACUAUCAUAAGGGGACCGUGCAGGCAAAGUUAUGUAACUCUGACUGGCAUUUGGACGGAAUUAUGGGCCCUUUAUACUUAGAAAAUUGAAAAUUUGGUUAAGAUUUAUGUUUUGGUCCACUUUACCCCUAAAGUAUCAUAGAUAUUGCUUUCAUACUUGGAACACUCACAAACUAUCAUAAGGGUACAGUAAAAGGACAAGUUGCAUAACUCUGGUUGUCAUUGUUACGGAAUUAUGGCCCUUUUUUGACUUAGUAACUUUUAAUAUAUGGUUAAAUUUUGUGUUUCGAUCCACUUUACUUCUUAAGUAUCAAGGCUAUUGCUUUCAAACUUCAAAUACUUACAUGCUAUCAUGAGGUUACUGUACCUGGCAACUUGAAUUUUACUUUGACCUUUGAAUGACCUUGACUCUCAAGGUCAAAUUAUUAAAUUUUGCUAAAAUUGCCAUAACUUCUUUAUUUAUGAUUAGAUUUGAUUGAUACUUUGAUGAAACUACUCUUACCUGACAUACCACAAUAGACUCCACCCAAACCAUCCCCCGUGCCCUCCCCCCC